RNAcentral lists this ribosomal RNA (3986 nucleotides) under Patescibacteria group bacterium. RNAcentral describes it as "23S ribosomal RNA". It matches the Rfam family "Bacterial large subunit ribosomal RNA". RNAcentral also lists the same sequence under 1 other name. The record is from RNAcentral.
AAAAAGUUUUAAUAAAGCAAAUGGUGGAUGCCUUGGUCGCUAAAGCCGAAGAAGGACGCGGAAGACGGCGAUAUGCGUUGGGGAGCUGUCAACAAGCUUAGAUCCAGCGAUUUCCGAAUAGGGAAACCUAGCAUUGCGGAAGCAGUGUUGCCCAUUGUUAAACAAUGGGGGGUAAGCCGGGGAACUGAAACAUCUUAGUACCCGGAGGAAAAUAAAUCGAAAUUCAUUUUAAAUGAACUCUGAUAAAUUUAUCAGAGGAGAUUCCGUGAGUAGCGGUGAGCGAAACCGGAAAAGUCCAAACCCCGAUUUAUCGGGGGGUUGUAGGAUAUGGCAUAAAAAAAUACGAAAGAUAGAAAAACAUUGUGGAAUAGAUGACCAAAGAAGGUGAAAGUCCUGUAUUUUAAAUUUAGUAGUAUUUUUGUUGUAUUCCUGAGUACCACGGGACACGCGAAAUGCCGUGGGAAUCUGGGGGGACCAACCUCCAAGACUAAAUACUUUAGCGGACCGAUAGUGAACUAGUACCGUAAGGGAAAGGUGAAAAAUACCCAUAGUAUGGGGGUGAAAUAGAUCUGAAACCAUUUGCUAACAAACAGAGAAAGUCCCGCCUUGGCGGGAUGAUCUCGUGCCUAUUGAAGAAUGAGCCUGCGAGUAUUUUUAAUUGCCGAGUUUAACCCCGCUAAGCGGGGGUAGGCGUAGCGAAAGCGAGUCUGAAUAAGGCGUUAGGUGAUUAUAGAUGACCCGAAACCGGUUGAGCUAACCAUGAGCAGGGUGAAUGUCGACGAAAGUCGCCAGGAGGCCCGUACCAGUUAGAGCUGCAAAUCUAUUGGAUGACUUGUGGUUAGAGGUAAUAUGCCAAUCGAAACCGGAAAUAGCUGGUUCUCUCCGAAAUAUAUUUAGGUAUAGCGUCUAGUGUUUAAAAGUGGGGGUAGAGCUACUGGAUGAAUGUUUAGGGAGUAAUCUCUGGCAUUUAACCAAACUCCGAAUACCGCUUUUUAUAAGCUAGGCAGUCAGUCCAGCCGGGCUAAGCUGGUUGGGCGAAAGGGAAAGACCCCAGACUCUCAUCUAAGGUCUCUAAAUUUUUGUUAAGUGGGAAAGGAAGUGAUUUGCCUAAGACAGUCAGGAGGUUGGCUUAGAAGCAGCCAUCCUUUAAAGAAAGCGUAAUAGCUCACUGAUCGACCCUGAUUUAUCGGGGCUGGCAAAUUGCGCCGAAAAUGUAACGAGGCUAAAACAAAAUACCGAAGAUGGAGAACUCGUCCUUUGGACGAAAAUUUUUAAUUUUUAAUUUUUAAUUUUUAAAUAACGUUUAAGUUUUAAUGCUUAAGAUUUAUUUAGAUUUUGGAGAUUUAGAUUUAGAAAUUCUCGUCUAGGGGGCGAGUUGGUAGGAGAGCGUUCUGAUGGCGGUGAAGGUUAAGGUGUAAACCAGACUGGAGCUGUCAGAAGUGAGAAUGCAGGCAUGAGUAACGUAAUACCGAUGAGAAUUCGGUACGCCGAAUACCUAAGGUUUCCUCAGCUACGUUGUUCGACUGAGGGUUAGGCGAUCCUAACAUGAGUUCACUGUAGUGGUGGAGUAAUGGAUGGAUAACCGGUUAAUAUUCCGGUCCUUUUUAUUGUUCGUUUUAAGUUGGGGCAUGACGAUGUGUAGAAAAUUUGGCAGUUAAGUGAUUGACUGUUUAAGUGUUUAGCUAGAAGAGGUUGGUAAAUCCGCCUUUUCGUUUUAAGGCGAGACAUGAAUAAAAAUAUGACGAAAGUUGUGUAAUUAAAUUGAAUCUAUAUAUCCGAGAAAAGUGUCGCAAAUAGAAUAGUAAAAAUUCGUACUAAAACCGACACUGGUAGGUAGGUCGAGUAGACCAAGGCGUUUGGGAGAAAGAUGGUUAAGGAACUAGGCAAAAAAUCUGGGCGUAAGUUCUGCGAGAUGCCCUUCUCAAUGUAAGAAUUGAGAUACAACAAAAGAGUGCACGGCGACUGUUUAUCAAAAACACAGGUCUCUGCAAACCCGCAAGGGGAAGUAUAGGGGCUGAAGCCUGACCGGUGCCAGAAGGUUAAAUGAGCGGGUGGUUUCGGAUUUAUUCGAGAUUGCUUGUGAUUGAAGCCCUGGUGAACGUCAGCAGUAACUCUAACUGUCAACUUUAUGGGCAGUUAUAAAAUCUGGCCAUAUGCUGGAAUAUCCGUCCUGAAAAAGGAAUAGUAUCUUGCACUACUAGAAUUAAAUUUUAGUGAAAAUGUGACAAGUGCGGACAAUCAGCAGGAAAGACUUAUAUGUAUGUGUUAAAGUAAAUUAAUGAAGAUACCUAAAAGAUAUACUCAACCUUUUUUUGAUGGUUUAGAUUUGGCAAGUAAAGGUAAAAUUAGGACCAUAAAAGAGUUGGAUAGAAUGGUAUGGAUUAUGGCUUUGGCAAUUAAAGAAGGUUUGGGAAAAAGAAAAAAAGAAUCAAAAAGAAUUCCUAAAUUUUUGAAAUGGUAUUUAGAUUUAGAUAAUCCAAAACAUUUGAUAUAAGAAUCCUCAGAGACUAUACGCCAGACUCCAAUAUGUAGGAGAUGAUAUAGUCCGAACUAUAUGGCGACAUAUAGAGAGUGAAUUUUUCGCUAGAAUUCACGAUUAACAAAAAGUCUAAGGUAGCGAAGUCCUUUGUCGUGUAAGUUACGACCCGUAUGAAAGGCUUAACGACCGUGCAACUGUCUUAACCAUUUACCCAGUGAAAUUGAAAGAGCGGUGAAGAUGCCGUUUAAUUACUGUAGGACAAAAAGACCCCGUGAAGCUUUACUGGAUCUUUACAUUGAUAAGAAAACAAUAAUUGUCGAGAAUAGGAGGGAGGUUCGAUUAUUCGAACCAUCAGUGGAAUACCUCUCUUUGUUGUUUUUAAGUCUUAUUUACUCUAAUGAAUCUUAGAGGAAGACAGUGUAUGGUUGCCAGUUUGCCUGGGGCAGGCACCUGCUAAAAGGUAACGCAGGUAUACAAAGGUUGGUUUGAUCCGGCUGGAAAUCGGAUUGAAAGUAUAAAAGCAAAAACCAGCUUGACUGUGAGACUUACAAGUCGAAUUCUGAUAAUUUUUUUGGAAUUUCAACACAUUUGAUGGUUGAAACAGGGUCGAAAGACGGUUUUAGUGAUCCUCGUGACUCAUUUGGUAUGAGCACGGGCUUACUGGAUAAAAGCUACUCCGGGGAUAACAGGCUAGUCGCAUCCGAUAGUCCAUAUUGACGAUGCGGUUCGGCACCUUAACCAAUUAAGGGAAAAUCGGGGUGGGCGGAAGUAAUUCCGUUAGCACUGUUAUUUUGGUCUUUUUGAAAUUUUUUUAAUAAGUUUUUUUAUUUAAUUUAAAAAUAACUUUACUAGCUCAUAACGGUGGACGCAAAUAUGCCAAUACCGUGGGAAGUCUAAUAAAGAAGAGUCUGUAUUUUUUAAAUUUUUUAUUAUGACCCCGUAACGACUUGUUUCUGAUGUUUUAUAUAUUGCACAUCAGAACGGAGUUAUGCUGACGGAAUGUCAGAUAGCUAAUACGCUAGCUCCUACUCGUUUAGUUUAGACAAUUAAAUGACAAGAGGAUGAAGGUAUAGUCUAAAAUAUUGCCUAUUUUAAGGUAAAUUAGCGAUGUCGACUUGGCGCAUCCUGGCCGCGAAGAAACGGCCAAGGGUUGGUCUGUUCGCCCAUUAAAGCGCUGCGUUAGUUGGGUUCAGAGCGUCGUGAGACAGCUCGGUCUCUAUCCACAGUAAUCGUUCGAUUCUUGAAGGGAUUCGUCUACAGUACGAGAGGACCUAGACGAGGGAAUCUCUGGUGUGCCAGUUGUUCUGUCAAGAGCACUGCUGGGUAGCCACAUUCCUAUAAGAUAACUGCUGAAAGCAUCUCAAGCAGGAAGCUGACCCUAAGAUAAGGAAUCGUUGUCCGAUUUAUCGGACGGAAGAUUGCCGGAAGACUACCGGUUAAUGCUUUGUGUGUGUAAUUAUAGUAAUAUAUUAAGCUAAACAAAGAAUAAAUCGAAUAAACUUUUUUU